CUCCGCCCCCCAGGCCCCGGCGCCCCGCCCCCGGCCUCGCCGGUCCUCACCCUCCGCCCGCCGUCCCGCGAGGAGUUCCAAGGCCCCUACCGCAACUCCACCCUCCUCUGCCAAAUCCGCGGCUCCCGGCGCAGCCUCGGCUCCGCCCCCAUCCAAUGGCUGCGCAACGGCGCCCCGGUGCGCGAGGGCGUGGCCGAGGAGGGGCCGGUCCCGGAAGGUCCCGGCGUCUUCGUGGCCGGCAGCCGGGUGGUGGUGACGGAGGCCGAGUGGGAGAGCGGCGUCGUCUUCACGUGCCAGGCCGGCGAGGAGAUGAGGAACACCAGCAAGACCAUGGAGUGCGGCUUCCCGGACGCCUCCCCGCCCUCCAUCUACCUGCUGGCCCCGCCCACCGAGCAGCUCCGCCUCCACACCUGGGCCACCCUCACCUGCCUGGUGCGCGACUUCAACCCGCCCGACCUCCUCGUCCAAUGGCUGCAGGACGGCCGGCCCCUCCCGCCGGGCCGCGCCCUCACCUUCCGGCCGCGCCCCGACAACGGCCACGCCCCUUCCGGCCGCGCCCACCUGGCCGUCAGCACCUUGACGGUGCCGGCGCGGGACUGGGAGGGCGGCGGCGUCUUCACCUGCCUGGUGGGGCACGAGCGGCUGCCGCUGCGGCUGGCCCAGAGGUCGCUGGACAAGGCUGCCGGUAAACCCGCCAACGUCAACGUUUCCCUCGUUUUUAGUGAUGCCCUGAGUGGUUGUUACUGAAA
This is a non-coding RNA of Onychostruthus taczanowskii (white-rumped snowfinch), 749 nucleotides long. Lineage: Eukaryota; Metazoa; Chordata; Aves; Passeriformes; Passeridae. The record is from the annotation of a RefSeq genome assembly.